RNAcentral lists this unclassified non-coding RNA (415 nucleotides) under Mitrasacme scrithicola. RNAcentral describes it as "partial external transcribed spacer". Lineage: Eukaryota; Viridiplantae; Streptophyta; Magnoliopsida; Gentianales; Loganiaceae. The record is from RNAcentral.
GGAUCUUUGCUUGAGCAACGACGUCCGCCCGUUCGAGCCUCUUCAUUCGUGGUGCAAGAGUUUUAAUAUCUUGGCCGGUUACGGUUUCCUGUGUUUCAUACCGUUACACGGAAUUGUUUGGUUUCAAUUGACCCUUGUUCGUCUUAUGAUGCCCGCUUCAGGCGUGCGCGUCGUUGAUGAACCACGAAGUGCCCGUUGCAGUCCGCCUCAGCUACGUUAACUCGUGUGUUGGAUUCGGCCUGCGAUAGGGCACUUGUGCUCAUGGAUGCGGAACCCUCUUAGGGUACGGGGAUUGUCCCCUUUCUACCCAAAUUUAUGCGUUCACCGCUAAUCAGCGAACGACCGUUGUUGGUGUCUUAGGCUGGCUGUCUCAAUGAGUCAUGCUAUGCUCGAGCGCCAACGACGUCGAUAAGGA